CACCAGUUGAUUCAUGAACAGAAGUGUUAAAGGAAAAUAUUGAAGAUUGUAACCAUAAAUCCCAAUUAUCCUUUUCGCAAUAAUGUCUAAGAUAUUCAAUAAAUGUGUGAUGACUUCGUUCCAAUGCUCCCAAUGAUUGUGGAUGAUAGGCAGUCGAUUUAUAUUGUUUAAUCUUAAGGGGUUAUGCCACUCUAGGAUUUUCAAAAAAUCGCUUUUUUUUUUUUGCUUUAAAUAGUUCCUUAGGGUCUCAGAAAUAACAUAUUGCAGGAUUAUGGCUCGGAAAGAUCUCUAAAUAAUUUAUUUUCGAAGUUCCUUGCAAGGCUGCACGGUACGCGGCGAGCUCAUUUUGUAAGUUCUACGGGGGGUAAUAUUUGAAGGAUCUACAGCAGGUAUACGGCAGAUGUUUUCAAAGGCGCUAGUUACUUGCUAGACUAUAGUGGUCAAUUAUAUGGUGCAGGCAUUGCAGAUUAAAGGAGCAGUUAGUUCGGCCACGUACCCCUUGAACCAUAGAGGAGUCGAAGGACGACCGCUACAGCGCCACCAUUCUUCAAGAAAUAUUUAUAAGAAAUUAUUUUUUUACACCUAAAAAGAUGUAUAAUAAACUUCUUAUAUUAUAUUUUUAA
Leptopilina boulardi is the source of this 623-nucleotide long non-coding RNA. RefSeq lists it as uncharacterized. The record is from RefSeq and is a predicted model, not a curated record. Lineage: Eukaryota; Metazoa; Arthropoda; Insecta; Hymenoptera; Figitidae. The transcript is spliced from 2 exons.